UCAAAUGAAAGACGAGGAAGCAACGAUCACCGCUUUACCAUGGACUAACAAUACUUUUCUUUUCUUCCUUUUUCUUUUUCUUUAGUUUUAUAAUAACCGGAAUAAUUAUUUACUAUUGUAUAUUUUUUUUCUCCCUUUCUGGAAUGCAAUGUGACUAAGACAACACUAUAUGAAAUACUAAUGAUCCGGAUAAUAAGUCUCAUACCAAUGAGAAANNN
This 218-nucleotide long non-coding RNA is filed under the name Trifolium pratense (red clover). RNAcentral's name for it is "long non-coding RNA (TPRA_LNC002447)". Lineage: Eukaryota; Viridiplantae; Streptophyta; Magnoliopsida; Fabales; Fabaceae. The record is from RNAcentral.